GUCAUGAUCCAUCAAAAAAAUGGAGUGUAUGUCCCAAUGAUCGCGUUGUAGAAAUAUAUGCUAGGUUUGCAGUGGAUGAGUACAACAGAAAACAUGGACGUAAUCUUGUGUUUCAAUCAGUUUUGGAAGCUUGGGUUUAUGUUUAUCCUUGUGGCAAGAAAGAGUAUAGUAUUGAAUUAGUAGUAAGAGAAGGGUGUGGGAAUCAUGUCCUCAAGUAUCAUGCUGUUGUGACUGAAACAGGCUGUGCUGCUCGCAGGAAGACUCUGGUGUCUUUCGACCAAAUCGACGACUAAAAGAGAAGUUAUAUGCAUGCAAUCAAAGUUUAUACUUAUGUGUGAGAAGUACACAAUAAUAAAUCUUAUAUGAUAUUGUACUGUUCUACUCUCUUUCACUAUCUCUGUUCUAAAAUGAUAAUGGAGGCCAAACUACGUUUUUAGUCCCUAACCCUAUAUUUUGUGUUUUACUUUUCAUUUUGCUUCGUUGCACUCUUAAAGUUUAUGUUGUAGUUUUCUGUUUUAGUUUUGUUUAGUUUUGUACUUCGUUCUUGAUUGUGUUGAAGGUUUAGAAGAAAAUUAUAACUAAAAACAAUAAACUCACAAAAACAAUAACAAUAGUAUUUAAAUAAAUUCAAUUGGGUUUGAAAAUUAGGUAGGAAACUAAUUAUAAAAACUAAAAAUCAAUCGAUCCUUAUCAGACAACUAGACCUACUUUUAUAAUUUUGAGAGUUUGGCAUGGCUUCUAAAAAUAUUGGUCUACAAAAAUGUGUAUAUAUAUAAGAACCCAUUUGUUGUUAUUAUAUACAUACAUAUAAUAGUAUGUAUGUAUGUAAAUGAGCGGAUUUUUGUUUUUUAUUUUGGUAUCUUUCUAUGGAUAUAUAUAAUUAAUGGAAAUAUCGAUUCUGAUCUCGAUGUUCAACUUAUUGAAACUAGAAUACACAGACGUGAGUUGCACGUGUCAAAAUCUUUUUUUCUUUUAAAAUUAUCUAUAUUUUCUUUUCUUUUUGGAAUUUUAUAUAUUAUAUAUUGAUAAUAAUACACACUAAUCAUCGGGAUAGAUGAUAAACCUUCUAAGGAGGGAGGGAAUGAUUGUGAAAUGAUCUCACUUGGUCUUACUAAAUGAGUAACUUCGUUAUGUAUACUCAUCUAUUGCUUUAAAUAUUAGAGAUAGUUGCAAAUUUAACAAUUAGAUUCAAAAUAAUUAAGUAUAUAACAACAUUUUAUCUCAUCAUUAUUUAAUGAAGCGGGAGUGAUGAGGGUGCUAAGGAGAUGUCCACCUAGUGGAGAUGUCCUGGUGCACCUGCUGACCCACAUUAUCUUUCUCUAAAAAAAAUAACAUUUUAAAAAAUUUACAAAUAUAACAAAAUUUGUCAAAUUCUAUCAAUAAUAGAAGUCUAUGACUAAUACACUAUGUUGCAAAUAUUGAUCUAUUACCGAUAGACUAUACAAAUCUAUUGACGAUAAUUUUGCUAUAUUUUCAAUUUUUUUAAAAUGUUGCUAUAUUUCGAAAAGGACCAUCAGAUACAAUUACCCUAAAUAUUAAUGUUUUUUGUUAGCACUGCUCUUGGGCUUAUGGGCUUAUCUCUAGCCCUUUUGUACCGAUCAUGAACUUUGUAUUUUGUGCGCUUUAUUGAAUAUAUAUACAUAUAUGGAAAUGAUAAAGGGUGUCCACCUAGUGGGAUGCUUCAGUGCAUCCACUGACUCUGCAAGUAUCCAUUUUUCUAAAAAAACAUUUCCAUUUUUCUAAAAAAACAUUUGAAUUUAACAAAUGCUUUCUUGUUUUCAUUGAGAUUACUUUAUAAAGUGCAACUGCAACCUAGUAGGAAAGAUAAACUUCAACAUGUAUUGUUUGUCCUUGACCCUUUGUUAACGGUCGUUGUAAAAUUGAGCAACACUAAAAUCUACAAAGAGCAUCAAAAUAAAUAAAACUUUAUAAGUUUUUUGAAACUAAAGUUUUGAUUUUGUAUAUAUGUAUUGAUUAUAAAUAGAGUAAAAGAGUGAGGAAAAAAUUGUAUUGUAUCGUGGUAAGAUUUUAAGUAACUUAAUUUAUUAAAUUAUAAACAAUAAAUAAAUAAAUAUGAAAGGUAUGGUUGCCGUUUUAAUUACAAUGAUGUUCAACACCUUUAUUUUUUGUUUAAUAUCUUUCAACUUCCUACUUUGAAAAUGUUCCAAACCCUCUAUUACAUAACGUUUACCAUCAAACCCGAAAAUUUUACCACAAUGUAUUAGUAACUAUAUAAUAGUUUAAAUAAAAUUAAAUAAACUAUGGUAAACCUAAACUUUGUUUAAGACAUGCUUUUUUAUUUUAAAAAGUCAAUUUAUUGACAUAAUACAAAUGCAUGUUCACCAUCAAAUCUACAAACUACCACAACGUAUAAGUAACAAAAUAAUUUAAAUAAAAAAUUAAUAAACUAUGAUAAAUCUAAAAUUCAUCUAACACAUGGUUUUUUUACUAGAAAAAAUUCAAGGAUUUCAUAUACUACAAACCAAUCAACUUAGCAAGAAAUGGAAAAUUUAUUUGCUUAAUUACCAAAUGUAUAUCACUAUUUAACAAAAUUUAAAUAUUUGUAAUUGUUAUCUUAAAUUUCUUUGGAAGAAAUAGACUUCCAAACUCAUUCAUUCUCGAACCACAUAAUCAUAAAUGUCUAAAUCUUAGACCUUUAGGUGAAGAGUUACAAAUGGCCACAUAUCCAUGGCUUACCAUGGUGAGUAAAAAAAAAGUUGUUUAUUUGCGCUAAAAGGAAAAACAGAUCUAGUGAGUAAAAGAAAGAAAAACAUUCAAAUGUUUGUAAGAAAAUAAAACGGUAGAAGAUAGGUCUUUAUAUAUAUAUAUAUAUAUAUAUAGUUACGUUGAAGAAAAUAAAAGGUUACGAAAUCUUUUUCGAACUCAUCAUUAAAUACUAGAUAUUAGAGAAAUUAAAUUAGUGAAAUUAAUAAUUAGAUAAAAUCUUUUUUUUUUUUACUUCUUAAACAAUGUGUUAGACAUUAAGGUGAGAAUUUGAAAAGAUAAUCAAUAGUUUUCGUCUAGAACAUAAAGGUUCGGUUCUUAUCUCUACAAUUGUACCAAAAAAAGAGCAAUACUUUGUUUUCAAGACGUUGUGUUUAGUAAUGAGAAGAGUCUCUCCGACAGCUAGCCCAGUAUUGAUCAGCUUACAAGUUUGGAGAAAUAAGAGUUGGUUUCCAUCAGCUUUGAGGGUUCUUCAUAUUCAACCAAAUGACCAAAGUCAUUGUCAAAGACGGUAGAACUCUGUGAGCUACUGUUACAAUAGUGCAUUCUGAAAACUCCUUCCCUUAUAAUUCUUUGUAAAAUGGUGUCAGUUGCCGAGUCGAUUGAAGUGGUAGCCUCAUCGAGAACGAGAAUUUUAUGUCGUAUGAGUAGCACUCGACCGAGACGGAAGAGUUGGCGUUUUCCCACACUCCAGUUUCCACAGAUGAGUCGAGCUGAUUUGGUAGACUGCUGACAGUGGCCUUCAGCUGACACCUCUCUAAUGCCUUCCAUAUCUCAUCAUCAUCAGAGUAAAGGCCAAGGGGAAGAGUGGAGGGGAGGAGAAAAUCAGUUCGAGGGGUGAAAGUUCAAGAGAAACUAGACUUAAAAUCGAAAGAGUAACUUAAUAACCAAGAAUUCGACAAUUGUAUUUAAGAAAGAUGCAAAGAAAAAAUAAGCUUAAUUUUAAAAAACAAAAACAAAAAACGAAAUGGUUCAUUACCAAACGAGACCUAAAAAAUGGAGAUUGAACCGCGCUAAAAAGCAUAAUGGAAUAACUUUGAAAAGCUAAUUUCCAAAAAGUAUCAAUAUUCUAUUAUGAAUAUUUCCCACGUUAUACAGAACAUAGAUAACAAAAAUCAAAGAAACGCUACAACAUAAACACAUGUUAUAUUAUAAAAAUCGAAUAACAUUCAAAGGUAUAUCGUCCUAAAAAGAAUCAAUAUCCUUUCCAAUAAUAUUAUUCUUUGACUUACACUAUUUCCCCCAUGAAUACACUUGUAUAAAAGCUUCAACAACUCAUGCAAUGGCAACCCACCACAAAAUUUUCAUUACUAUCAAAUAUCAACUAAAGAUCACAAAAAAAUGGCAGGUAUUCUUGCUGGUCUUGAUGGAGGACUUGGUUUUGGUUUUAGUCCUUUCAGUUUAAAGAUCGGCGGAGGUAUCGAUCUCGGGAGUAAAAGGCCGGGGGGGUGCAAGAGUCAUGAUCCAUCAAAAAAAUGGGUUAUAUGUCCCAAUGAUCAAGUUGUAGAAGCUGCUAAGUUUGCAGUGGCUGAGUUCAACAAAAAAUAUGGAAAUAAUCUUGUGUUUCAAGUAGUUUUGGAAGCUUGGGUUUUUACUAAUCCUUGUGGGAAGAAAGAGUAUAGUAUUGAAUUAGUAGUAAUAGACGGCUGCUUGAAUCGUGUUCUCAAGUUUCAUGCAGUCGUGACUGAAACACCCUGUGCUGCUCGCAAGAGGACUCUGGUGUCUUUCGACCAAAUCGUCGACUAAAAGAGAAGUUAUAUGUGCAAUCAAAGUUUAUACUGUGUGAGAAGUACACAAUAAUAAAUCUUGUAGGAUAUUGUACUGCUCUACUUUCUUUCACUAUCUGUUCUAAAAUAAUAAUAAUGGAGGCCAAACUACGUUUUUAGUCCCGAAACCCUAUAAUUUUUGCGUUUUACUUUUCAUUUUGCUUCUUUACAUGCACUCUUAAGUUUCUCAAUUAAAUUUGCACCUGUUUUGUAUUUGGUUCUUUAUUGUGUUCAACCGUUUAAAAUGUCGACCUCGAUCGAUAUUUCUACCAAGAAAACUAUAACUAUAAACAAUAAACUCAUAAAAAAAUUAGUACUUAAAUAAAUUCAAUUGAGAGUCUGAAAAUUAGGUAGGAAAUUUUAAAACUAAAAAUCAAUUGAUUGUUAUCAGACAACUCGACCUACUUUUAUAAUUUUGAGAGUUUGGCAUAGCUUCUAAAAACAUUGGUUUACAAAAAAUAUAGAUAUAAUAACAAAGCAAAUAGAUCUAAGGAUGGAACGAGUUUUUAUUUUCAAAAAUCAACUGGUCAUCAAAUCGAGCUAGCUAUAAGCAUCAACUUUUUCUAUAGUUAUACGAACCCAUUUGUUUGUUGUUAUUAUAUAUAUAUGAGUAGGGAUUUUUUAUUUUUUAUUUUGGUAUAUUUCUAUGAUAUAUAUAAUUAAUGAAAAUGUUGAUUAUUUCUUAUCUCGGUGUCAAAACUUAUUAUAAAAACUAGAACACGUAAACGUAUGUUGCACGUAUCAAGAUCUUUCUUUCUUUUAAAAUUAUCUAUAUUUUCUUUCUUUUGGAAUUAUACAAAUAUACAAAUAUAUAUAUAUAUAUAUAUAUAUAUAUAUAUAUAUAUAUAUAUAUAUAUAUAAAGGAAAUAAUAUUGAAUUGAGAAAGAACAACUUUAAAGAAACAUAAUAUGAUAAUUAAAGAAAAUAUUAGUUUAUUAAACUUGUAUGUUUUUAAUACACUAUAGAGGAUAAACUUUCGAUCUCAAAGGACGGAGUGAACGUUUGGGAUGAUCUCAUUUAAUCUUAUUAAAUGAGUAACCUUAUUAUGUACCGUUUUUUCUUUUUUUUAUGUGUUAAAUUUUCAACAUUUGAAUUUAACAAAUGUUCUAUCAUUUUCAUUAAGAUCAUUCAAAGUAGCCUUUGUUAAUGGUCGUUGUAAAAUUGAGCGACACUAAAAGCUACAAAAAGAAAAUUAAAUAAUAAAUCACACAAAUUCAAAUUUAAGUCUAAUUUACAAUGUUGUAAAAUCAACAGUGAGCAUCAAAAUGGACAAAACUCUACAAGUUUUUUGAAAUUAAAGUUUUGAUUUUGUAUAUAUGUAUUGAUUAUUAAUAGAGAAAAAAAAGCGAGGAAAAGACUAUAUUAAGUAACUUAUUUUAUUAAAUUAUAAACAAUAAAUAAAUAUGAAAUGUAUGGUUGCCGUUUUAAUAACAAUGACUUUCAACACCUUUAUUUUUUGUUUUAUAUCUUUGAACUUUCUUUGAAAUUCUAAGUACUAUGACAGGUUCCAAAUCCUUUAUUAGAAUGUUCACCACGUCAAACCUGAAAAUUUACUCCAACGUAUUAGUAACCAUAUAAUAGUUUAAAUAAAAUUAAAUAAAGUAGAGUAAAUCUAAACUUUGUUUAAAACAUGAUUUUUUUAAUUAAAAAAAAUUCAAUUAUUAACCUAUACAAAUGCAUGUUAUUCACCAUCAAAUCUACAAAUUUACCAUAAUAAUUUAAAUAAAAAAUAAAUAAACUAGUAUAAAUCUAAAAUUCAUCUAACACAUGGUGUUUUUAUUAGAUAAAAUUAAAGGACUGACAUAUAUAUCACAAACGAAUCAACUAAUUAACUUAUAAGAUGCAUAUCACUGUUUAUAGAAAAUGCAAAUGCUACCAUUAGAUAUGUUACUUUUUUUUUGUUGUUGUUGCUAUAUGGGUAAUGAAAUUUGAAAAUAUUUGUAACUAUGAUAUAUCUUAAAUUUUUUGAAAACAAAAGUCUAAUUUCAAAUUCAUUCAAUCUUAAAUUUUGAAUUAACCAUAAACCUAUAAUCAUAAACGUCCACAACCCACGUCAUUAUCGUAAAUGUUGACGUUUUAAGUAAAUUAAACAAUACUAAUGGGUGAUGAGUUACAAAUCCCCACAUAUAUCCAAUGGCUUACCAUGGCGAGUAAAAACAAUUGAUAGUAAACAAUGGCUUCUUUGACAACACAGAAAAAACACACAUCUAGUGAGUAAAGAAAAGAAAAGAAACCUAAUAAUUAGAGAGAAAUUCAAAUAUUUGUAAGAAAAUAAAAUGGUAGAAGAUAGGUCUUUAUACAUAGUUACGUUGAAGAAAAUAAAAGGGUUACAAAGUUCUUUUAUGAUCUCUAUCAAUAAAUAUAGAUUCAUAAAUAUUAAAAAUUAAAUUAUUGAAAUAAUUAGAUAAAACUUUUCUAUUUUGACAAAUUUUUCUCUUAAAUAAUGUGUUAGGCAUGAAGGGAAUUAAGAAUUUGAAAAGAUAAUCAAUACCUUUCGUCAUAGGUAAACAAACUAUACAACUAACAUAGGCAUUAUCUUUCUUUUUACAAGUCCCUACAAUUGUACCAAAAAAGUGAAAUACUUUGUUUCCAAGACAUUGUGUUUAGUGAUGAGAAGAGUCUCUCUUUGAUAGUUAGCACAGUAUUGAUCAGCUACAAGUUUGGAGAAAUAAGAGUUGGUUUCCAUCAGCUUUGAGGGUUCUUCAUAUUCAACCAAAUGACUAAAGUCAUUGUCAAAGACGGUAGAAUUCUGUGAGCUACUGUUACAACAGUGCAUUCUGAAAACUCCUUCCCUUAUAAUUCUUUGUAAAAUGGUGUCAGUUGCCGAGUCGAUUGAAGCGGUAGCCUAAUUGAGAACGAGAAUUUUGUUUGGUUUGAGUAGCACUUGACCAAGACAGAAGAGUUGGCGAUGUCCCACAUUCCAGUUUCCACCUUCAUCAGUUCACAGAUGAGUCGAGCUGAUUCGGUAGACUGCUGACAGUGGCCUUCAGCUGACACCUCUCUUCUAAUGCCUUCCAUAUCUCAUCAUCAUCAGAGUAAAGGCCAAGCGUGUCUAAAUUUUUGUGAAUGCUGCCCCUAAAAAGUUUUGUCUGAUCUUGUGGGAUAAUGCUAAGCUUCAUUCUUAGAUCCUUUAAACCAAUGGAACAUAUAUAUCGAUCCCGUCAAUGAUGAUUCUCCCGCUCUCUGGCUCCACCAAACGAAACAAAGCACUUAUAAGCGUCGUUUUUUCACUUCAUGUUCUUCCUACAACCCUUACUCUAGUCCCUUCUUAGAAGGUACACGUAAUUCCCUUGAGAACGAGAGGAGCAUUGGGAUGAUAUUUUAUCUUUAGACACAUUCCAACACUAUCCUUCCUGUUGUAGGCCAUGAAAGUGGUGGUAUAUGCUGUUCUCCAUGAUUGCUGGGAGGCUCUGCUGGCAAAUGCAUAUAUAUUUCUUGAUCCUUUUCUACAGAAACGAUGUAGUUUGAAAGAGUACAAUAAUAUGUCGCCAUGAAAACAUGGAUACUAUAUUUGAAAAGGAUAAAGCAUAAGAAAGAGAUCAGACUCCCUCAAGUCCUGGAUUGGUGGUUUGACCCUGAGGAAGCAGUACACAAGGAGAAAUGCAACAGUGAAAAAGGUGAAAUGUUGCAAUGUUUCUAUCCUCAAAAUAAACCACCCUCUGUCAUUGCAUAGUUGAAAAAACAGACUCGCAUCAUAUCAGUGUCGAUGAGCUUUAGAAACUUGUUGAAGAAUUAUCGUUUCUGCUGCAUAUAAUUCAUUACAGGUGCUUUUGUUGUCCCAUUAAUUCUAAUAAGCUCCCUACCAGUUGCUAGAUAAUAUAAAAAUAGCUGGAAUGGCAACAACAAGCAAGAACUUCCCACGUAACAGAAGCCACAGUUGCAAUCACUACAAGAAGAUGUAGAUCAGCACCAUAUCAUAUUACGAAGAUGGCGGCAAAUGGUAUGUCAAAAUCCACAAUAUAAUAUUAUAGAAGAUGCCUUACAAAUUGUGAAAAGCUAAUCAAUAUUCACUUUAUUCUUUAUAUGAAAUAAUAAUAUAAGUAACAAAUUUCUUUUACAAAAGCUAUAUAUUGAAAGUAUUUUGGCUUUUUUUCAGUUUAAACAAUAACUAAUGAUUAUCUUAAAAUAUUAGAUCAUACGAUCAUACGAUCAUAUGUUGUAAAUUUAAAAUUUAACAAGAGAUAGAAAUCUGUCGAUAUCUAUCCGUGUUUUUCAUUGAUAAAAUCUACGAAGUAAAAUCAAGAAAAGAAAAUUUUCACAAGGCCUAUAGCGUAACAAAGAGUAUCAAUAACCAUAGGAAGGAGGAGAGGAAAAUGUUUUAAAAUUGAAAAGAACAUAAAACUCAAUUGGAUAUUAAACAUUCGAUCAACAAAAACUAUAAAUUAAACACCAAAAGAAAAAAAAAAGAAAAACAAAUCAAAAUCAAUGACUCUCUUAUCUAUAUAUUUUUUAUGAUCAAAUAACUUUCAAAACCUUCUCAAAAGGUUCUAUAUAUUUUUCUUGGUAUUUUGGCUAAGAUCAAGUGUUCUAUUAUUAUUAUUAUAUAUAUAUAUAUGCUUCAUUUUUCAAUGGGUUAUCUUAAGUAAGGCCUCCCAGCAUAUUCUUUCCAAAAUUAUUCUUUGACUUGCACUAUUUCUCCCAUGAAUACACUUGUAUAUAAAGCUUCAACAACUCAUGCAAUGGCAACCCACCAAACAAAAUUUUCAAUACUAUCAAAUAUCAACUAAAUUAGCUCACAUAAAAAUGACGAUUGGUAUUGGUGGAGGAAUUGGUAUUGGCAUUGGCGUUCCUGGUAUCAAAGUAUCGAUCGGUGGAGGCAUCGGUAUCGGAAGUAGAAAGGGGGGGUGCAAGAGUCAUGAUCCUUCAAAAAAAUGGAGUCAAGUUCCCAAUGCGCAAGCAGAUCAAGUUAUUAUAAAUGUUGCUAACUUUGCAGUGGCAGCGUUCAACCAAAAAUAUGGAAAUAAGCUUGUGUUUCAUGCAGUUUUGGAAGCUUGGGUUGUUGUUCUUCCUGAUGGCAAAAAAGAGUAUAGUAUUGAAUUAGUAGCAAAAGACUGUUUGAAUCGUUGCCUCUACUUUCAUGCUAUUGUGAUUGAAAUAGUUGGCGUUCCCCCUGGCUGGAAUCUUUUUUCUUUCACCCAAAUCAGCGACUAAAUUAAAAGAAAAGUUAUAUGUAUAAUCGAAGUUCAUACUUAUGUGUGAGAAGUACACAAUAAUAAAUCUUAUAUGAUAUUGUACUGCUCUACUUUCUUUAACUAUCUGUUAUAGAAUAAUAAUGGAGGCCAAACGAUGUUUUUAGUCCCAAACCCUUUAUUUUGUGUUUUAGUUUUCAUUUUGGUUUGUUGCAUGGGACUCUCUUAAGUUUUUGAGUUAAUGUUUUGCAGCUUUGUGUUUGAGUUUUGAGUUUAAUUUUGUAUUUGGUUCUUGAUCGUGUU
This 9922-nucleotide long non-coding RNA is filed under the name Cucumis sativus (cucumber). RNAcentral's name for it is "long non-coding RNA (CSAT_LNC002659)". Lineage: Eukaryota; Viridiplantae; Streptophyta; Magnoliopsida; Cucurbitales; Cucurbitaceae. The record is from RNAcentral.